UUUUUUUUUUUUUAACAAUUUUAAACUGAUUUUCCCCAUAUAGUUCUGAAUUUUAGAAUUUUCCUAUAAUAUCUAAUUUAUGUAAAGAAAUCUAAUUCAUUGUACAAGAAAGUAUAAGGAUAUUUUUUGUUAAAAUAUUUGAAGAAUGAGGCUUCAUAUGUGAGGCACUAAGUUGUGUUUGUAGGCUCUGUUGCUUAAAUCUUUACUAAGGGAAAAUUUCUAAUAUUACAGAGAUAAAAUAUCUUUCUUUUCUUUUUAAGUGUCUGUGUUAUGUUUGGAUAAUUCUGAGUCUGAAUAAUUUGAAUCUUGGCAGGUUGUCAAUAGGGUGACUGGAAAUUUCAAGCAUGCAUCUCCUAUUCUGCCAAUCACUGAAUUCUCAGACAUACCCAGAAGAGCACCAAAGAAACCAUUGACAAGAGCUGAAGUGGGAGAAAAAACAGAGGAAAGAAGAGUAGAAAGGGAUAUUCUUAAGGAAAUGUUCCCCUAUGAAGCAUCUACACCAACAGGAAUUAGUGCUAGUUGCCGCAGACCAAUCAAAGGGGCUGCAGGCCGGCCAUUAGAACUCAGUGAUUUCAGGAUGGAGGAGUCUUUUUCAUCUAAAUAUGUUCCUAAGUAUGUUCCCUUCGCAGAUGUCAAGUCAGAAAAGACAAAAAAGGGACGCUCCAUUCCCGUAUGGAUAAAAAUUUUGCUGUUCGUUGUUGUGGCAGUUUUUUUGUUUUUGGUCUAUC
Molecule: small RNA, 728 nt
Filed under: Pan troglodytes (chimpanzee)
Lineage: Eukaryota; Metazoa; Chordata; Mammalia; Primates; Hominidae
Description: retained intron
Source: RNAcentral